AACAAAACGCACUUUAGACCGUAUGUAAUUAUAAAUACAGUGUAGUUGGAGAUACAUUAGUUAGAAAUGCAGCAAUUAUAGUUAUAUUGAUCUUGUUUAGUUGGAUGCAGUAGAAAGUAUUACAGUUAUAAAUACUUUGUUUGGUUGUAUGCGGCUGAGAAGUAUACUAACGAAUUUUUACCAUUUUAUAUAUAGAGUUGUGAUGUUAUCCCCUAUGUAGGAGUGAAAAGUGAAACUUUUUAAAAGGUUAUUAGAAAGGUAAGCUUACGUGUACUUUUUUCAAGUGCUGCAGUUUCAAUUUGGGCGUAGUUCCGACUGUUACAGUUGAGACUUCUUAUGUACAGUUACAACUGCAGUGCAGUUACUCUUACGUACAACCAAACAGCCCUUAAAGUAAAUACCGUCGUUACAAGGUAAAAUGAAACCUCUGGCGCUAAGUUCCUUUAUUCUUGUCAAAAAGAAGCUCACCUAACAUAGGAAUUUGUCAAUUAUAUUUUUCAAUAUCUAUAAAAGAGGAUGUGGAAAC
RNAcentral lists this long non-coding RNA (526 nucleotides) under Ananas comosus (pineapple). RNAcentral describes it as "long non-coding RNA (ACOM_LNC017511)". Lineage: Eukaryota; Viridiplantae; Streptophyta; Magnoliopsida; Poales; Bromeliaceae. The record is from RNAcentral.